This is a long non-coding RNA of Amphimedon queenslandica, 345 nucleotides long. RefSeq lists it as uncharacterized. The transcript is spliced from 3 exons. Lineage: Eukaryota; Metazoa; Porifera; Demospongiae; Haplosclerida; Niphatidae. The record is from RefSeq and is a predicted model, not a curated record.
ACCUCAAUUGUACUGGUAAUGAAGAUCACUUGCUUAAUUGUUCACACAGUAAUGCUGCAUUGCACAACUGUCAGUCUCAUAGUGAUGCCAGUGUUGUAUGUCAAAGAAUUAUUCAUCAAGCUAACUGCACUAAUGGUGACGUGAGGCUGGUUGAUGGUAGCACAGAAGAUGAUGGUAGAGUUGAAGUAUGUAUCACUGAGGCAUGGGGAAGCAUCUGCUCCUAUGGCUGGAAUGUGCAUGAUGCUUUUGUUGUAUGCAAGCAAUUAGGUUAUAUUGGUGGAAGAGUUCAAAGCAUCUCCUCUGGAGUUGGUCCUGUUCUUAUGUCACAUUUAUAUUGCAAUGGAA